CUAAAAACGCCUUUCCACACUCUGCUAUUUUCUUAGGAAACGUUAUGCAAAUCACUUUACAGGUUUCUGCUGGUGCAGCUCGGUAAUUACCACAUUUUCUGGCCUGAAACACUCAGAAUUGCCACCCUUUCUGAAGCCUCAGAUUCAAGGUGGAGUACAGCUGACCCAGACCCCAAGGAGAAGCAGAUGAAAAGGUGCAACUUGAGAGCAGAAGAAUAGAAAGGAAGGGUUUUGAAAGUUCCUCGAGUUCACAGUUCCUGUGUAAGACCAGAAGAAGGAAACAGCAACAUCUGGCUACCCGUGCAGCGUGAUCACAACGCAGGAGCACUCGGGAAAUGGUUAUUGCUUCCCGAGGCUGCUCACUGAGCUGGGGUCAUCGGUGGUCUUUUAUAGAAGACACACAGAGCAGGGAGUUCAUACGCUAACCGUUAACCAGAAACUUGCUUUGGAGCUAACCAGGAGCCCAGUCAGAUUUCCCCCUUUUAAUUCAAAUAUGAAGAACUAGUUACCUAGGAGGCAAAGGGAUGAUAAACACAACAUUCAGAACUGCGGUCAAAGAGGAUCAGACAGAGAUCUUCUAGAUGGAGAAGGGGCGGAAGAUUGAGGCCAUGACAGACAGUCUUCCAGCCCCUAAGUUAGGUGGUGAGUCACGGGAGUUUGUAUUAUCAUCAUUAGCUUUCAUUAUUUACAUUCUUUCGCAUGUGUCGGAUAUUUGUAAUAUAUUUUUAAAGGAAAAAAAUUUCUUCCACAACAUUUCAGCGCUUCAAAAAAAUAUUGUGCAGGUUAUAAUGGAAGAACAGGGAUUUAGAAUCACGGCCACUCAAGCCCAGGACCUGUGCCCUCUGAAACCCUCAGGACCUCAGGGAUUUAGAAUCACAGCCACUCAAGCCCAGGACCUGUGCCCUCUGAGUCCCUCACGGCCUUUCAGCUGCUGACUUUUAUCAUUGCAGGCCUUCUGCCCCACCUCACUGGUUUCUGGGCCGCCUUUUGUCAGCACUCACAGAAAGGUACCCUCAUCCUAUCAACUCUGGUUGGGAAAGUGGUAUGUCCCACGGUCAGACUGACCUCACAGAGGUCAUCAUUUCUGCACCAGAACACCACAACCUCUUUCCUGUGAGCAAGCGCCCUUCCUCCCGUGCUGACUGAGGCCCUGGAAGCUCAACGCGGGCUGGCCCAGACCGCUGCUCGAUGGGCUGGGAGAGCCCCGCUUUCAGGGGCUGAGCCGGGCUGAGCUUCUAGGACACGGCUUGCAGGCUCAAGUGAUCAUGCUGAAGGAAGCCUUGUUGAACCUGGGCAGGGACUGGCACUGGGGGGCUGGCCUGCACCAAGAACUUGCACAGGGACUGGCUGCCACAGUCCCUGCAGACUGACUCCAAUACGGACCCCAACCACCCCCCGUGUGUCUGCUGGCCGCUCCUGCAUCAGCAGAUGGAGUCCACUCCCUUCCCCUGAAUCUGAGCCUGCCCUGGAAUUGCCCUUAAUCAAUUGAACAUGGCAAUUGACUAUACUCCAAUAAAAAUUUUUAAAUAAAUAAGUUCAAAAAACAUGUAUUGUAAUAACCUAUAACAGAAAAGAAUGUGAAAAAGAAUAUAUAUGUAUAAUCUAAAUCACUUUGCUGUAUGCUUGAAACUAAUACAUUACAAAUCAAUUAUACUUCAAUAAAAAUUUAAAGAAAUAGAGUAUGGCAGAAGCAAACUGGUGACAGCUCCGGGUCUAACCUGCACAGUGCCUGGCACUUUCUCUCAUUCUCCUAGAAGCUCGGGCUUCCUCGGGGCCCAGAUCUCUGGCAGAGACGCC
This is a long non-coding RNA of Bos taurus (domestic cattle), 1797 nucleotides long. The record is from Ensembl. NCBI's taxonomy places the organism in Eukaryota, Metazoa, Chordata, Mammalia, Artiodactyla, Bovidae.